UGGGGCACUUAUGGGGCAGGAGAGGCACUUGUGGGGCAGCUAUGGGGUCCCCCACCCCCAGACGUCGGCGAUGUCACCCUGAGCCCCCCCCACGCUCUGCCCCACGGCGCUAUGGGGUGCCCCACAACCGCCGCCGUUGAACUGAAGCUGAAAGGAGCCCCCCCACCCCCGACCCCCCCCAGCCCCACAUUUGGGGACCCUGAGCCCCACAGAUGCCACGUGUGGGGCUGGAGGGGUGGGGAAGGGAAAUGUGUGGGGCAGACCCCGAUGUGUGGGGCUGCAGCUGUGCUCUUUUUGCCCCUAAAUUGCUGUUUUUCACCCCAAAAUAAAGGAUAAAUGGGUUUGAGAG
Molecule: long non-coding RNA, 349 nt
Filed under: Gallus gallus (chicken)
Lineage: Eukaryota; Metazoa; Chordata; Aves; Galliformes; Phasianidae
Description: lncRNA (ENSGALG00010001889.1)
Source: RNAcentral